RNAcentral lists this ribosomal RNA (442 nucleotides) under uncultured bacterium. RNAcentral's name for it is "partial 16S ribosomal RNA". It matches the Rfam family "Bacterial small subunit ribosomal RNA", at positions 338 to 795 of the family's 1533-position model. The record is from RNAcentral.
CCUACGGGGGACAGCAGUGGGGAAUAUUGGGCAAUGGAGGAAACUCUGACCCAGCAACGCCGCGUGAAUGAUGAAGGUCUUCGGAUCGUAAAGUUCUUUUCUAAGGGAAGAAGAAAGUGACGGUACCUUAGGAAUAAGCCUCGGCAAACCACGUGCCAGCAGCCGCGGUAAUACGUAGGAGGCGAGCGUUAUCCGGAUUUAUUGGGUUUAAAGGGGGCGCAGGGGGAAGAUCAAGUCAGCGGUAAAAUUGAGAGGCUCAACCUCUUCGAGCCGUUGAAACUGGUUGUCUUGAGUGAGCGAGAGGUAUGCGGAAUGCGUGGUGUAGCGGUGAAAUGCAUAGAUAUCACGCAGAACUCCGAUUGCGAAGGCAGCAUACCGGCGCUCAACUGACGCUCAUGCACGAAAGUGUGGGUAUCGAACAGGAUUAGAUACCCUGGUAGUC